GUAGGUGGCAAGCGUUAUCCGGAAUUAUUGGGCGUAAAGCGCGCGUAGGCGGUUUUUUAAGUCUGAUGUGAAAGCCCACGGCUCAACCUUGGAGGGUCAUUGGAAACUGGAAAACUUGAGUGCAGAAGAGGAAAGUGGAAUUCCAUGUGUAGCGGUGAAAUGCGCAGAGAUAUGGAGGAACACCAGUGGCGAAGGCGACUUUCUGGUCUGUAACUGACGCUGAUGUGCGAAAGCGUGGGGGGAUCAAACAGGAUUAGAUACCCUGGUAGUCCACGCCGUAAACGAUGAGUGCUAAGUGUUAGGGGGUUUCCGCCCCUUAGUGCUGCAGCUAACGCAUUAAGCACUCCGCCUGGGAGUACGACCGCAAGGUUG
RNAcentral lists this ribosomal RNA (372 nucleotides) under uncultured organism. RNAcentral describes it as "partial 16S ribosomal RNA". It matches the Rfam family "Bacterial small subunit ribosomal RNA", at positions 527 to 896 of the family's 1533-position model. The record is from RNAcentral.